This 468-nucleotide ribosomal RNA is filed under the name uncultured bacterium. RNAcentral describes it as "partial 16S ribosomal RNA". It matches the Rfam family "Bacterial small subunit ribosomal RNA", at positions 28 to 507 of the family's 1533-position model. The record is from RNAcentral.
GACGAACGCUGGCGGCGUGCUUAACACAUGCAAGUCGAACGGAAAGGCCCUGCUUUUGUGGGGUGCUCGAGUGGCGAACGGGUGAGUAACACGUGAGUAACCUGCCCUUGACUUUGGGAUAACUUCAGGAAACUGGGGCUAAUACCGGAUAGGAGCUCCUGCUGCAUGGUGGGGGUUGGAAAGUUUCGGCGGUUGGGGAUGGACUCGCGGCUUAUCAGCUUGUUGGUGGGGUAGUGGCUGACCAAGGCUUUGACGGGUAGCCGGCCUGAGAGGGUGACCGGCCACAUUGGGACUGAGAUACGGCCCAGACGCCUACGGGAGGCAGCAGUGGGGAAUAUUGCACAAUGGGCGGAAGCCUGAUGCAGCAACGCCGCGUGCGGGAUGACGGCCUUCGGGUUGUAAACCGCUUUCGCCUGUGACGAAGCGUGAGUGACGGUAAUGGGUAAAGAAGCACCGGCUAACUACGUG